This 300-nucleotide ribosomal RNA is filed under the name uncultured diatom. RNAcentral's name for it is "SSU rRNA". It matches the Rfam family "Eukaryotic small subunit ribosomal RNA", at positions 451 to 753 of the family's 1831-position model. The record is from RNAcentral. Lineage: Eukaryota; Bacillariophyta.
CCGAUUCGGGGAGGUAGUGACAAUAAAUAACAAUACAGGGCCAACGGUCUUGUUAUUGGAAUGAGAACAAUUUAAAUAACUUAACGAGGAUCAAUUAGAGGGCAAGUCUGGUGCCAGCAGCCGCGGUAAUUCCAGCUCUAAUAGCGUAUAUUAAAGUUGUUGCAGUUAAAAAGCUCGUAGUUGGAUUUCUGGCAGGAGUGACCGGUCACACACUCUGUGUGUGAACUCGCGUUGUCUCUGGCCAUCCUUGGGGAGAUCCUGUUUGGCAUUAAGUUGUCGGGCAGGGGAUACCCAUCGUUU